GAUGAGCGCGGGCGGCGUGCCUAAUACAUGCAAGUCGAACGCUGGAGAUCUAGCUUGCUAGAUCGAAGGAGUGGCGAACGGGUGAGUAAUACAUAAGCAACCUACCCACGAAGACUGGGAUAAUCUCUGGAAACGGGGACUAAUACCGGAUAGGUAAUCGGAAGGCAUCUUCUGAUUAUUAAAGGUUAAAAACACUGGUGGAUGGGCUUAUGGCGCAUUAGUUAGUUGGUGAGGUAACGGCCCACCAAGACGAUGAUGCGUAGCCGGCCUGAGAGGGUGAACGGCCACAUUGGGACUGAGACACGGCCCAGACUCCUACGGGAGGCAGCAGUAGGGAAUUUUCGGCAAUGGGGGAAACCCUGACCGAGCAACGCCGCGUGAGUGAUGACGGCCUUCGGGUUGUAAAGCUCUGUUGUAAGGGAAGAACGGUAGAUAGAGAAUAUCUAAGUGACGGUACCUUACCAGAAAGCCACGGCUAACUACGUGCCAGCAGCCGCGGUAAUACGUAGGUGGCGAGCGUUAUCCGGAAUUAUUGGGCGUAAAGGGUGCGUAGGCGGCCUGUUAAGUAAGUGGUUAAAUUGUUGGGCUCAACCCAAUCCAGCCACUUAAACUGGCAGGCUAGAGUAUUGGAGAGGCAAGUGGAAUUCCAUGUGUAGCGGUAAAAUGCGUAGAUAUAUGGAGGAACACCAGUGGCGAAGGCGGCUUGCUAGCCAAAGACUGACGCUCAUGCACGAAAGCGUGGGGAGCAAAUAGG
RNAcentral lists this ribosomal RNA (754 nucleotides) under uncultured Bulleidia sp. RNAcentral describes it as "bacterial SSU rRNA". It matches the Rfam family "Bacterial small subunit ribosomal RNA", at positions 28 to 776 of the family's 1533-position model. Lineage: Bacteria; Bacillati; Bacillota; Erysipelotrichia; Erysipelotrichales; Erysipelotrichaceae. The record is from RNAcentral.